AGAAGCCAGAGCAGCAUGUCCCUGCUUGUCACUGUGACUGCCAGAACACCCUUCCUGUGAUUGUUCCUGAAGGAGCCUGGUCUGUCUGUGGGUGAGCCCCAGCCAAGGGAGCAGGAGAGCUGGUUGUCAGGAUCACCCUGGGGGACUCCCUCCUGUUGCUGGGUAAACAACCCAGCACAGGGGUGGAGAGGAGGGAGGAGGGAGACUUCCAGAUCCACAGCCCUGAGUGUGGCGGCCUUCCUCUCCUCCCUCCUAAUGCCUUUGGCCCUCUCUGGCCCCAGCCCUCAGCUCCCCAGCCCUGCGUUUUCUCAGGCAUCUUCAGCCUUCCUGGGAACGCCAGCCCUGCCAGGAUUUGAAUUUGAUGCUCAGGACUAGGAGGAAGGAUCCUCGGCAGACAGCCCAGAGCAACUCGGAAGGGCCCGUGGAGAAGGGAAGGCAGCCAUCGAUGAGAAGCACCAGGCCACGGGCUCUUCAGCCUUGGAGGGAGCAGAGAGAUUUGGAGGCUGAGAUGGGGCAGCACUUCAUGGACCUAGAGAUGGGGGAUGCUAAGGCCCAGGAGAAGGAGGAAGAGCAGCCUCUGGGUCUCCUUCCUGCCUCAAAGGGCUGGGACCAAGGCCAAGUGAUCAAGGCCAUUUGGAGAGGCCAACUGGGCCUGAUGAAGCAGUUGCUGAGGCAGGGGACCUGCAUCAAUGAGAGGUGAGCAGCCGCAUCCGAGCCCUAACCCAAGCCCCCUGGCAUUGAGGUGGAAGACUCAGGCUUCCUUUCGUUUGUUUUCAACCCCCACCUUCCAUCUUAGUAUCAGACUCUUCUAAGAAUCAGUCCUGUGUAUCAGUUCCAAGGCAGAAGAGUGGUAAGAGCUAGGCAAUGGGGGUUAAGGGAUGUACCCAGGAUCAUCAAGCCAGGAAGUGUCUGAGGUCAGAUUUGAACCCAGACCCUUCUGUCUUCAGGUCUGCUUCUCUAGCCAUUGAGCCACCUUUAUGCCUCUUCUCCAGCUCAUUUUUCAGAUGAGGAAAUGGAGGCAAUGGGGGUUACGUGACUUACCCAGGGUCGCACAACUAGGAAGUGUCUGAGGCCAGAUUUGAACCCAGGACCUGCUAGGUCUGCCUUUCCAUCCACUGAGCCUCCCGGGAUAUCUAUUUUGAGGGUAAAGAGAAGUUAAAAAUGAAUUUCCCAGUGGAAGUCUUUGUGUCUGUCUUAUGAAGCAAAGCUUGGACUCAACAUUCAGAAAGCUUCUGGAUUCCAUUUCCAGUGAGCCUAGCUCAGUCACUUGGUGAUGGUGGACAACCCAGGAGGGAGCACAGUGUCUGGCAUUUAGUCAGAACUUAAUAAAUGUUGAUUAAUUGAUUGGAGGUACUUUCCC
This 1360-nucleotide long non-coding RNA is filed under the name Monodelphis domestica (gray short-tailed opossum). RNAcentral describes it as "lncRNA (ENSMODG00000047102.1)". The record is from RNAcentral. Lineage: Eukaryota; Metazoa; Chordata; Mammalia; Didelphimorphia; Didelphidae.